This 1137-nucleotide ribosomal RNA is filed under the name Saccharomyces cerevisiae (brewer's yeast). Its description in RNAcentral is "eukaryotic LSU rRNA". The stretch from base 580 to 1137 matches the Rfam family "Eukaryotic large subunit ribosomal RNA", at positions 1 to 561 of the family's 3401-position model. The record is from RNAcentral. Lineage: Eukaryota; Fungi; Ascomycota; Saccharomycetes; Saccharomycetales; Saccharomycetaceae.
UUUUGUUAUAGGACAAUUAAAACCGUUUCAAUACAACACACUGUGGAGUUUUCAUAUCUUUGCAACUUUUUCUUUGGGCAUUCGAGCAAUCGGGGCCCAGAGGUAACAAACACAAACAAUUUUAUCUAUUCAUUAAAUUUUUGUCAAAAACAAGAAUUUUCGUAACUGGAAAUUUUAAAAUAUUAAAAACUUUCAACAACGGAUCUCUUGGUUCUCGCAUCGAUGAAGAACGCAGCGAAAUGCGAUACGUAAUGUGAAUUGCAGAAUUCCGUGAAUCAUCGAAUCUUUGAACGCACAUUGCGCCCCUUGGUAUUCCAGGGGGCAUGCCUGUUUGAGCGUCAUUUCCUUCUCAAACAUUCUGUUUGGUAGUGAGUGAUACUCUUUGGAGUUAACUUGAAAUUGCUGGCCUUUUCAUUGGAUGUUUUUUUUCCAAAGAGAGGUUUCUCUGCGUGCUUGAGGUAUAAUGCAAGUACGGUCGUUUUAGGUUUUACCAACUGCGGCUAAUCUUUUUUUAUACUGAGCGUAUUGGAACGUUAUCGAUAAGAAGAGAGCGUCUAGGCGAACAAUGUUCUUAAAGUUUGACCUCAAAUCAGGUAGGAGUACCCGCUGAACUUAAGCAUAUCAAUAAGCGGAGGAAAAGAAACCAACCGGGAUUGCCUUAGUAACGGCGAGUGAAGCGGCAAAAGCUCAAAUUUGAAAUCUGGUACCUUCGGUGCCCGAKUUGUAAUUUGGAGAGGGCAACUUUGGGGCCGUUCCUUGUCUAUGUUCCUUGGAACAGGACGUCAUAGAGGGUGAGAAUCCCGUGUGGCGAGGAGUGCGGUUCUUUGUAAAGUGCCUUCGAAGAGUCGAGUUGUUUGGGAAUGCAGCUCUAAGUGGGUGGUAAAUUCCAUCUAAAGCUAAAUAUUGGCGAGAGACCGAUAGCGAACAAGUACAGUGAUGGAAAGAUGAAAAGAACUUUGAAAAGAGAGUGAAAAAGUACGUGAAAUUGUUGAAAGGGAAGGGCAUUUGAUCAGACAUGGUGUUUUGUGCCCUCUGCUCCUUGUGGGUAGGGGAAUCUCGCAUUUCACUGGGCCAGCAUCAGUUUUGGUGGCAGGAUAAAUCCAUAGGAAUGUAGCUUGCCUCGGUAAGUAUUAUAGC